CCCCCCCCCCCACCAAGCUGCCCACCAGAGGCCAAGCUGUACUUGGUGUUUGCCAACAUGCUGUAAUUUCCAGCCUGGUUGCUGUAGCCACAGAGGAAUUUUCAAGGACAAGAACCAGUGCUGGUAAAACUGUGGUCUCUGUGGUUUUCCAUACCGGCUCUCGGCAAGGAUUUUCAAGAAAGGAAUACCAUCUCCAAAUCAUGAUGUGUCAAUAAGCUCCAGUUAGCUGCGGCCUUUUCCCCAGGCGGUAGUCCUGCAAUCUGAAUCCAGGAGAUGCAGCUCUGAAUCCAAUAUUUCAGAAGAAUGAAGAUGAAGCAGACCCAGGAGGAACUGUCUGUUGAAGACCCC
Molecule: long non-coding RNA, 348 nt
Organism: Mya arenaria
Lineage: Eukaryota; Metazoa; Mollusca; Bivalvia; Myida; Myidae
Exons: 4
Source: RefSeq, a predicted model, not a curated record